This 426-nucleotide ribosomal RNA is filed under the name Megaselia sp. 36 SH-2017. RNAcentral's name for it is "partial 16S ribosomal RNA". The record is from RNAcentral. Lineage: Eukaryota; Metazoa; Arthropoda; Insecta; Diptera; Phoridae.
UUUUAGAAAUUAAUUUAAAGUCUAACCUGCCCACUGAAUAAUUUUAAAUGGCCGCAGUAUCCUAACUGUGCAAAGGUAGCAUAAUCAUUAGUCUUUUAAUUGAAGGCUGGAAUGAAUGGUUGGAUGAAAUAUUAACUGUUUCAUAAAAAUUUAUAAUAGAAUUUUAUUUUUUAGUCAAAAAGCUAAAAUAUUAUUAAAAGACGAGAAGACCCUAUAAAUCUUUAUAUUUAAAUAAUUUUAAUUAUUUAGAUAAAUUAAAUUAUAAUUAUUUUAAAUAUUUUAUUGGGGUGAUAUUAAAAUUUAAUAAACUUUUAAUUUAUAAUAAACAUAAAUUAAUGAAUUGUUGAUCCAUUUAUUAUGAUUAAAAAAUUAAGUUACUUUAGGGAUAACAGCGUAAUUUUUUUAGAGAGUUCAUAUUGAUAAAAA